Molecule: long non-coding RNA, 193 nt
Organism: Bombus pascuorum
Lineage: Eukaryota; Metazoa; Arthropoda; Insecta; Hymenoptera; Apidae
Exons: 2
Source: RefSeq, a predicted model, not a curated record
UAGACGAGUGCAAUUUUUCUUGUUGCUGAAUUCGUUCAAUGCAAAAACAUAUCUUCGUUUGUUGAGUUAGAUGACCUUUUUUUCUACAAAAGAUUUAAACUCAGAUGGGGUUCUUGCUCGGAUACGAUAGUUGUUAUUCAAUACUAUAGUAAUGUAAAUAUUACCGAAUAAAAUGUAGCGAUGUUCGCUCGAA